This is an RNA transcript of Arachis duranensis, 794 nucleotides long. It is a transcript of the gene named protein NONRESPONDING TO OXYLIPINS 2, mitochondrial, with no coding region annotated. The transcript has 5 exons. Lineage: Eukaryota; Viridiplantae; Streptophyta; Magnoliopsida; Fabales; Fabaceae. The record is from RefSeq and is a predicted model, not a curated record.
AAAUGAGAGCAUCAACGUUGUGGUGCAACCGUGCAAGACGCAAAACCAUAAACCCUUUGCAUCGCGUUGUUACCGUUCUCACGAUCCUCUUCAUAAAUGGCUUCAGCGUGCAGCAGAAUCGCGCAAAGAGCAGCUUCAUUUUCUUCCAUAAAAUCAACCAUCAAAUCCACUCUUCGCUCUUCAUCCUUCUCCAACACCGCCACCACUACUUCUCCUCUUCGCCGAUCCAUUUUAACCAGGGUUGCUCCGGAACUGAGAUGCGCGCAGUCGAUGCUGCCACUGCAUAGUGCGGUUGCGACGGCGAGGAUGACGUCAUGCCUGAGAACAUCUCGGAGCUGCCGAGCGCUAUCACAGGGUACUCUCUGCUGCACCUCUCCCAGCCUCUAAUACUUACUUUUUCCUCCAUAAAAAUUCUUCAACUGCACAUAGAUAAUUGGGAGCUUGCAGGACCAGUCACUUUUGACCUACUGCCUCAUUACCAAAUGGAAUUGAUUGGACGUGAGGCAUGCAUGCUGUUCUUAAGAGCUCGGUCUAUCAGUUCCAAGGUGACAAGCUAGAAGUGAGACCGAAGAAAGCGUUUUACAUUUGUGAGGUUAGAUUUUGUAAUUCUGCUACCCAAAAGCGGCUAUACUCAAUGUAAUUUUUUCAGGCUGCGAGAAUGAUUUUGUUGCUGAAUAAUGGUUACUUGCCCUAUGAAUUUGAUUAAUCAAUAUGCUUAAUUAAAACAAUCUGUGUUUUAUCAAGAAAUGAAGAUCAUGUAUAAGAAUUGAGGUAGACUGAUGUUUGAGUGGAAA